This 463-nucleotide long non-coding RNA is filed under the name Helianthus annuus (common sunflower). Lineage: Eukaryota; Viridiplantae; Streptophyta; Magnoliopsida; Asterales; Asteraceae. The record is from RNAcentral.
CGCCCGCCGGGGACCCGCGCGGGGGGAAGGGCGGCACGGGACAGGCAGAGCACGGGGCAGAAAGCACAGGGCGGGAGCAGCCGCAGGGACCAGCGCAAGGCGGGGGGGAAGGAAACAGGCGGAGGCCCCGGGGCCGGACCAGGGCGGAGGGGGCGGGGCGACGCCCGGGGAAGGCCCCCGAAGAGGCCGGGCCCAGGCCGGCCCCCGGCCGGCACGCGGGGACCCGCGCGCGCCGCGGAAGCAGCGCGAGCAGGCCACCGACAGCCGACGGGGGCGGGACAGGGACCCCCGGGCCCAGCCCGCAGAGCCAAGCCGGGGCCCGAGGGGACGGAGCCAGGGGGCCGACGGCCCGGGCCGACAGGGGCCAGCGACCAGAGGCGGGGCACCGGGGAGACCGGAGGCGGGAGGAGGACGACCGGGCGGGGGAGGCACGCGGGCCGCCGGAGGGGCAAGGGCCGCCGGG